AGCGAACGCUGGCGGCAGGCCUAACACAUGCAAGUCGAACGAACCUUUCGGGGUUAGUGGCGGACGGGUGAGUAACACGUGGGAACGUGCCUUUAGGUUCGGAAUAACUCAGGGAAACUUGUGCUAAUACCUAAUGUGCCCUUCGGGGGAAAGAUUAAUCGCCUUUAGAGCGGCCCGCGUCUGAUUAGCUAGUUGGUUGAGGUAAUGGCUCACCAAGGCGACGAUCAGUAGCUGGUCUGAGAGGAUGAUCAGCCACAUUGGGACUGAGACACGGCCCAAACUCCUACGGGAGGCAGCAGUGGGGAAUCUUGCGCAAUGGGCGAAAGCCUGACGCAGCCAUGCCGCGUGAAUGAUGAAGGUCUUAGGAUUGUAAAAUUCUUUCACCGGGGACGAUAAUGACGGUACCCGGAGAAGAAGCCCCGGCUAACUUCGUG
This 434-nucleotide ribosomal RNA is filed under the name uncultured bacterium. RNAcentral's name for it is "partial 16S ribosomal RNA". It matches the Rfam family "Bacterial small subunit ribosomal RNA", at positions 29 to 507 of the family's 1533-position model. The record is from RNAcentral.